RNAcentral lists this ribosomal RNA (485 nucleotides) under uncultured Prevotella sp. RNAcentral's name for it is "bacterial SSU rRNA". It matches the Rfam family "Bacterial small subunit ribosomal RNA", at positions 907 to 1392 of the family's 1533-position model. Lineage: Bacteria; Pseudomonadati; Bacteroidota; Bacteroidia; Bacteroidales; Prevotellaceae. The record is from RNAcentral.
GAAUUGACGGGGGCCCGCACAAGCGGAGGAACAUGUGGUUUAAUUCGAUGAUACGCGAGGAACCUUACCCGGGCUUGAAUUGCAGAUGAAGGAUCCAGAGAUGGUGACGCCCUUCGGGGCAUCUGUGAAGGUGCUGCAUGGUUGUCGUCAGCUCGUGCCGUGAGGUGUCGGCUCAAGUGCCAUAACGAGCGCAACCCCUCUCUUCAGUUGCCAUCAGGUCAAGCUGGGCACUCUGGAGACACUGCCACCGCAAGGUGUGAGGAAGGUGGGGAUGACGUCAAAUCAGCACGGCCCUUACGUCCGGGGCUACACACGUGUUACAAUGGGGGGUACAGAAAGCCGGCUGCCCGCAAGGUCAGUCCAAUCAAGAAAGCCUCCCUCAGUUCGGACUGGGGUCUGCAACCCGACCCCACGAAGCUGGAUUCGCUGGUAAUCGCGCAUCAGCCAUGGCGCGGUGAAUACGUUCCCGGGCCUUGUACACACCG